This is a non-coding RNA of Heterocephalus glaber (naked mole-rat), 1089 nucleotides long. NCBI's taxonomy places the organism in Eukaryota, Metazoa, Chordata, Mammalia, Rodentia, Bathyergidae. The record is from RefSeq and is a predicted model, not a curated record.
UCCGUCAUAACCCAAGUUGUUCGUAUGUCAGGCCAGUUGUAACUCGAGGGUCCACUGUAAUCAGGGACAAAAGUCAUUGGUUCAAUUUAUUAGUCAGUGAAUUCCAUUUGAAAGCAAACCUUGUACCAGAAUUAAGACAUUGUCAUGUUUUGUGCAUAGUGAGAUAGAGAAUCACUGAGCUGAAGCCAACUUUGAAAAUGUAGUUCGAGCACUUGGGAGGCUGAGGCAGGAGGAUGGAACCUAGGAGACUAACCCUGCCUCAAACAAAAACUAGGAAGGGGUGUGUAGCUCAAUGGGUAACUUUGUAAGUAGCACUACCACCAUCACAGAAAUAAAAAUCUAAUCCAAAACACAUCAUGCAGGAAGGACAACACACUCGGAGAGACCAAGUCAGGCUCCGUCAGGCUCCCAGCUCAGGCUGAAGUCCCGUCUGGACCUUUGUACCCAACAGCCUGCCUCGCUGUGCUGAGUACAGAGUCUCGGUCUUCCAGAGGUGUUGGUCCAGAAUCGGCCUUUAUCCGGGUGUCACUGUGGGCAGGACAGCUGGCUGCUUCUGCAAUCGCUUUCUAGCAUCACACCUUCAAGGAGAAACACUUGAACAAUUCCUUAGCAGGGUGUUGUGGCGCAUGCCCGUGAUACAGCACUCUGGGAGGCUGAAGCAGGAUGAUUUCAAGUUUGAGCCUAGCCCAGGCAAGUUAGAUUUAUCAAAUUAAAAAGGGUUGCAGCCCAGUACAAUUGCAGCCACUCAUCACAGACCUCUGGCUCCUUUCCUGUAACUGCUCCUACGUUACUAAUCUCUCUCUUUUCAAGCUUGCCUGUGCAUACUGGAGUGUCAACAGUUUCAUUCCCAUCCCAGCAGCUCAGAAGAUUUAGAAACAAUGCAGCUGCAGCAGGGUUCAAAGGUUUCAAGCUGCAUUUGGGAUUCCCAGAACUCACACUGCAUCCUCUGUCUUCACAUUUUGAGACAAGAUCGCACUCUGUCAUCCAGACUGGUCUUGUACUCACUACAUAGCCCAACCAGCCUCAAGCAAGAGAUUCUCCUGCCUCAGCCUUACCCACACCUGUGUGGAAUAAAGUUGUCACAUCUGA